GGACAUCUGAUGUGGAAGCCAUGUGUGAAUUUUUAUAAGCUCUUGGAGAGCGACGGCGAUUCUGAUGAGGGUGCUAAGCUUAGUUCAUCCGCCUCAUUGACUGGACCUUCCAUGGAGCUGAGGGGCCCACAGGGUUGUGGAUGAGUUAUUGGCUGGGGAAAGGUCCUGAGAGAAUUCAGCUUGGCUUUUGAAAAAAUUUCCCCCUUCAUUGAGUUAUGCAGGAUCUGAUGAAAGCAAGAAGGGGGAGUUACCUCAGGAAGACACAGGAGGCAUUGCCCCCUUGGGGAGUGGAGCUGUGAAGUAGAGAAGGGCUCUCUGUGUUUCAAAGCUCCCAGCUUUCCUGUUCUGACUCUCUCACUGCAGAGCGGGGCAGAGCCCUCCCUGAAUGCUUCCAGGUGCAGAUCCUCCCUCUUGGAGCUCUUGGAAGGACUGGAGACAGACGGGUUGGUUCUCCCUCACCACCUCUGACACCUAUGGACAGAGGGCACUCUGCAAGAAAGAAGCCAUCAGUUUGGAGAGGGGAUGAAUUAAGGUCUCAUGUAGCCCAGGAUGGCCCUAUGUAGCUGAGGAUGUCUUUAACUCCACCAGGACCUCCUAUCAUCACCUCUCGAGCACUGGGAUUACAUGUGUGCAGGGGCCAUCGCCUUUAUCUCAGCUCCUAUGACAUCUUUAUGAAACAAUGAGCUCUACAUUCCAUAAACAGAAACCAGAAGG
This 714-nucleotide long non-coding RNA is filed under the name Mus caroli (Ryukyu mouse). RNAcentral describes it as "lncRNA (MGP_CAROLIEiJ_G0005364.1)". The record is from RNAcentral. Lineage: Eukaryota; Metazoa; Chordata; Mammalia; Rodentia; Muridae.